GGCUACGGCCACAUCAACCUGAAUCUGCCCGAUUUCUUCAGGUCUCGGAAGCUAAGCAGUCUGGAGCCUGGACAGUGAUUGGAUUGGGCGACCGCUGAGCUU
This 102-nucleotide ribosomal RNA is filed under the name Petromyzon marinus (sea lamprey). Lineage: Eukaryota; Metazoa; Chordata; Hyperoartia; Petromyzontiformes; Petromyzontidae. The record is from RNAcentral.